Unclassified non-coding RNA from Cavia aperea (Brazilian guinea pig), 92 nucleotides. Its record names the gene Vault. It matches the Rfam family "Vault RNA". Rfam says of the family: This family of RNAs are found as part of the enigmatic vault ribonucleoprotein complex. The complex consists of a major vault protein (MVP), two minor vault proteins (VPARP and TEP1), and several small untranslated RNA molecules. The record is from Ensembl. Lineage: Eukaryota; Metazoa; Chordata; Mammalia; Rodentia; Caviidae.
GGGCUGGCUUUAGCCCAGCGGUUCCUUCGAGUCUGGCUUCCCAACAGCCCAGGCCGACUGGUCCAGACCUGCGGGCGCUCUCCAGUCCUUUA